RNAcentral lists this ribosomal RNA (1516 nucleotides) under uncultured bacterium. Its description in RNAcentral is "partial 16S ribosomal RNA". It matches the Rfam family "Bacterial small subunit ribosomal RNA". The record is from RNAcentral.
GAGUUUGAUCCUGGCUCAGCAGGACGAACGCUGGCGGCGUGCUUAACACAUGCAAGUCGAGCGGUAAGGCCCUUCGGGGUACACGAGCGGCGAACGGGUGAGUAACACGUGGGUGAUCUGCCUCGCACUUCGGGAUAAGCCUGGGAAACUGGGUCUAAUACCGGAUAUGACCUGCUGUCGCAUGGCGGUGGGUGGAAAGAUUUAUCGGUGCGAGAUGGGCCCGCGGCCUAUCAGCUUGUUGGUGGGGUAAUGGCCUACCAAGGCGACGACGGGUAGCCGGCCUGAGAGGGCGACCGGCCACACUGGGACUGAGACACGGCCCAGACUCCUACGGGAGGCAGCAGUGGGGAAUAUUGCACAAUGGGCGAAAGCCUGAUGCAGCGACGCCGCGUGAGGGAUGACGGCCUUCGGGUUGUAAACCUCUUUCGACAGGGACGAAGCGUGAGUGACGGUACCUGUAGAAGAAGCACCGGCCAACUACGUGCCAGCAGCCGCGGUAAUACGUAGGGUGCGAGCGUUGUCCGGAAUUACUGGGCGUAAAGAGCUUGUAGGCGGUUUGUCGCGUCGUCCGUGAAAACUUGGGGCUCAACCCCAAGCUUGCGGGCGAUACGGGCAGACUUGAGUACUGCAGGGGAGACUGGAAUUCCUGGUGUAGCGGUGAAAUGCGCAGAUAUCAGGAGGAACACCGGUGGCGAAGGCGGGUCUCUGGGCAGUAACUGACGCUGAGAAGCGAAAGCGUGGGUAGCGAACAGGAUUAGAUACCCUGGUAGUCCACGCCGUAAACGGUGGGUACUAGGUGUGGGUUUCCUUCCACGGGAUCCGUGCCGUAGCUAACGCAUUAAGUACCGCUACUGCAGAAUACGCAGUCAAGGCUACAGUUCACAGGAAUUGACGGGUCCCCGCCCAAGCGGCGGAUCAUGUGCAAUAAUUCGAUGCAGCCGGAACAACCUUCCUUCAAUCUGACAUCCACCAGUAAUUUGCAGAGACGCUCGCACCUUGUGUUCUGUGUACAGGUGGGGCAUGUAGUUGGUCAGUUCGUGUUGUGCGAGUAUGGUCUAAGUCGCUUAAUGAGCGCAGAAAGAGUUUUACAUUCCCAAGGCGUUCAUGCGGCGCGUGGUGAGAGAGCAUCGGGGUCUACUCCGAGGAACAAUGUUACGCCGUCAAGUCUUCAGUAGGAGUAUGUGCAGGGUUUCACACACAGUGCAAUCGGUGGUCCUGACGGGCCGGAUACCGGUAGUUGGAGUGAUUGUCCUAAAGCCCGUCUCCAAUCGGAUAGGGGUCGGCAACUUGUCGCCGCGAAAAAUGAGUCCAUAGUAAUCGCAGAUCAGCACAGGUCAUAUUGAAUUCGUUCCCGGGCCUUGUACACACCGCCCGUCACGUCAUGAAAGUCGGUAACACCCGAAGCCGGUGGCCUAACCCCUUGUGGGAGGGAGCCGUCGAAGGUGGGAUCGGCGAUUGGGACGAAGUCGUAACAAGGUAGCCGUACCGGAAGGUGCGGCUGGAUCACCUCCUUUCU